GCUGGGCGUGUUGGCACACGCUUGUAAUCCCAGCUACUCGGGAGGCUGAGGCAGGAGGAUCGCUUGAACCCAGGAGGUGGAGGUUGCAGUGAGCCGAGGUCGUGCCACUGCACUUCAGCCUGGGUGACAGAGCAAGACUCUGUCUCUA
Molecule: signal recognition particle RNA, 148 nt
Filed under: Chlorocebus sabaeus (green monkey)
Lineage: Eukaryota; Metazoa; Chordata; Mammalia; Primates; Cercopithecidae
Description: Metazoan signal recognition particle RNA
Rfam family: Metazoan signal recognition particle RNA
About the family: The signal recognition particle (SRP) is a universally conserved ribonucleoprotein. It is involved in the co-translational targeting of proteins to membranes.
Source: Rfam by way of RNAcentral